GGAGGCUGGGCACUCUCUGAAUUCGAGGCCAGCCUGGUCUAUAGCGGGAGUCCAGAAUAGCCUAAAGAUUUUUUUGUUUUCGAAAAAAAAAAAACACUUUAAAAAUUGAAAUAAUUUUAUUGUCAGCAUUGUUAUUAUUAUUGUUCCGUCUCUGCACCACAUUGGAGCCUGGAAUUGAACCCAGAUCCCUGCAUCCUGGAGAGAAAGUAGCUGAACCACCCAUCUCUCCAACCCACCCUUUGAUUUAUUUCGCCACUUCUGAUUUCCUUUCAUAACAGGGACCCUCCGUGUAGCCUGUCCCCUCAAUCCCGUCCACACAGACACAGACAUAGAGACUACUCUUAGUCCUCCAAUCAGAAUAGAGCGACUCAGGACGGGAACGGCCUCUCUAUCUCGGCGUCUGGAACCGGCGCGGGUUGAUGACACACUUCUGGCCUGGUUUGUUUUCUUUUUCUGGCGCGUCGGGCGGGGGCAUGCGCCGUUGCGGCCGCGUUUUCUGGUAGACGGUGGCCCCGCGCCUCGCUUUCCGGGAAUCUCAUCGGGGUCUCGGGGCUCCGGAGGCUGCGAUGGCGGCAGCCUGCGCGGUGGUGCUGGCGUUGAAAGCAGAAGCGGAGGAGGAAAAGAAGGACCCCGGGGCUGGCGGGACCCCGAAACCUCCCAGAAACGCUUCCAGAGACUGCGCUCCGGGCACGUGUCCGGCACGGAGGACGCGCUGAGCCGCCAGCGGGAGCUGUGCCGCCGCUGGCUGCGGCCCGAGCGGCGCUCCUAGGAGCAGAUGCUGGAGCUGCUGGUCCUCGAGCCUUCUCCCGCGCAGGCUGGGGGUCCCCGUGCGCCACCGGCACCCCGAGAGCGGGGAGGAGGCGGCGGGCCUGGGCGCGCGCCCUGCACCCGGCUUCUCCGCAGCAGGGACAGUGAGCACUAACUGAGGUCUUGUGCCGGACACCUCGACUUUCAAGGCCGAGGCUGGAUCUCCAACCCGGGGAGAAUGGCAGCAGCUGGCCCUGUCCCCUCAGAACGGCUCGUGCCGAGAGAGCGAGGAGAACAACAGGAGCACGGCCGUGCCAGGCCUGGAGACCCGAGCUGCCUGAAACCCUGACUUUAUCCCAAAAUAGGAGGAGGACUGCAAGGAGGAGGCAGAGCCUACACAGGCCUGGGUACAAGGCGGGACCCUGAAAGGGAAGAGAAAUCACCUAAAGAUGCUGUCCUGCCACCACCACAGCCUCCGGGUUCUCCAGGAGAGCAUGGCCACCUCACACGUCCCUUGGGCACCCAACAAGGAAGGACUUUGGAGAAGUGGAGAGCUGGAGCACACGGCCACCUUGCACACCCUCUGCGGGGCCAAGGAGGAAGAGCUUUGGAGAAGUGGAGAGCGGGGGCACACGGCCACCUCCCACACCCUCUGCUGGGCCAACGUGGAAGGGCUUUGGAGAAGUGGAGAGCUAGGGUGCACAACCACCUUGCUGGUCCCCUGCAGGGCCCAGGAGGAGGGGUUGGAGAAGUGACGACUUUGGGGAAGUUGCCACUGCCCCUGCCCUUGCUGAGGACAGCAGAACCUGGUGAUGACUUUGGGGAGGUUGCCACUGCCCCGCCCUCGCUCAGGAUCAACUGCGCCGCUUUUGUGAAGUGGUCUCCACUGGAGAACAAGUUUGCUGUGGGGAGUGGAGCCCGGUUCCUCUUCAUCUGUUACUUUGAGUCUGAAAACAACUGGUGAGCCAUGCUAAUCUACUUUCUCUUCCUUCCUUCAUCCCUUCCUCUCCAUCCUUCCCUUUCCAGUCCCUGAUUCUUAAUUCAUGUAGGAAGCAUUUCCUCCUGACUGCUUUGGAGCAGUUGACUGUGUGUUCGCUGAAAGGUCAUAGGUGGACUGGACCUUACUGUGGUCGCAGAUGUAGUCCCUGAACGUGAGCUGUAUGUCAGCUCCUCAGGCCGGUAUAGUGCACAAGCCUGUAAUUCUAGUUUGACUUUGAGAGCAGUGUGGGGUUCACAGCAAGUCGGAGGCCAGCCUGAACUCUGUGUAGGAAGCUCUUCCCUGACAGAGAGCAAGCCAGCCUUCAGCAGGAGCAGCUGUGCACUGUAGGGAGCCCAUGAAAAUACUCAAGCCUAAGUCAAAGGACAGCCUUAUAACAUUAAAAGCGAUGGUGCGUACAUGAGUUACCUCUGUAGAUGUAGCUAACGUUACCUGUGGAUUUCAGAAUUGAAAUGGUUUUUAUAAACAUAUAGAUCAGUUUUAUUUGGAGGGGGUUUAUGGGACAGCUUGGAAAAUGCUGCUGUUUUGUCUGUGAGGACAGUGUAAACUAGGUUUUCUCCUUUCUCAGGUGGGUGAGCAAGCACAUUAAGAAGACGGUUUGCCCUUUGGCAGAGUACAGGGAAUCAUAAGAAAGAAGGGGAGUUAGUCUGAUGGGGAAAGGAUAGGAGCUCCACAAGGACCAAAUAUAUCUGGGCACAGGGUCUUUUCUGAGACUGACAUUCAACCAAGGACCAUGUAUGGAUAUAACCUAGAACCUCCACUCAGAUGUAGCCUGUGGUAGCUCAGUAACCAAUUGGUUUCCCAAAGUGAGGGGAACAGGGACUAUUUCUAACAGGAACUCAAUGACUGGCUCUUUGGUCUCCCCACCCCCGAAGGGAGGAGCAGUCCUGUUAGGCCACAGAGGAGGGCUUUGCAGCCAGUCCUGAAGAUACCUGAUAAAACAGGAUCAGAUGAAUGGGGAGGAGGUCCCCCCUAUCAGUGGACUUGGAAAGGGGCACGGUGGAGAUGAGGGAGGGAGGGAGGGACUGGGAGGGAAUGAGGGAUCGGGACACGGCUGGGAUACAUACAGAGUUAAUAAAAUGUAACUGAUAAAAAAUAAAUAAAUAAAUAAAUUUUAAAAAAAAGAAGACGGUUUGCUCCACAGUCCUCUGCUUGGGCUAGCACCCCAACAACGUUUUGCUUGCUGCAGGGUCAUGUGACUUCAAAUGCAGGUGAGGAUAAACGGGCACUGCCUGUUGCUCAGCACUGACAGGUACCCAUUGGGCUCCUUUGUUUGCGAAGUACAGUACCCUGUGAGCAGCUCAGCGAUAAAGGGAACUUCCUGGUCUAGAAAAAGAGCUGUGGCUGGGAUGUGGCCUCUCAGGUAGACAACUUACCGAGUUGGUUACCGUCCCCGAGCACUGCAGAAGCCCGGCAAGUGCUGCACACCUGUAAACCCAGCACUGUAUGUGGAGCUAAGGUUAGAGGCUCAGUUACAGGCUGAGAUUGAGGGCAGCCAGGCUAUAUGAGACCCUGUCUCAAGAAAGAGAAAAAGAACAAGUGAACUAAUGCACAGUGAUGAACAAGAGCAAGUAGCAGAGGAUAUGAUGGACUCAUCCAUAGGGUUAGCAGGAGCUGCAGCAGGUUGUUAUGCACAGUAGCCUGGCUGGUACAGUGAGGGGUCUUAGGGAGACUCGAGUCUUGAGUGCAGGGUGAGCUCAUGCUGUGUCCACCCGUCCAUCUCUCUUUCAGACUGUGCUGCUCAGUUUUUAAGUCAGUUGAUUUUAUUUUUCUCUGUGCGUGUGGGUAUCCAUGCCUGGCAAAGGCCAGAAGGGGUAAGAGAUGCCCAAGAGAUACACUGUGGUUGUGAGCCACCUGGUAAAGGUGGUGGGAGCCCAACCCAGUCUUCUGGAAGAGCAGCAAGUGUGUUAACCACUGAGCCAUUUCUUCGGUUCAGUUCUCUAGGUUUUGAUGUGACAAGUUGGAAGCAUGAAGUUCAGGUUGGUCUGGAGCGCACCAUCCUCCCUCAGCUUCUUGUCGUGGAAUUACAAGUCUGCACCUUCAUGCCCACCAGCCUCUUUCUUGGACUGUUUCAGGUCCUCAUUUUGUGUCCCAGGCAACAGACUGCAGAGAAGAGUGAACUUGACUUUAGCCACGUGUCCCUGAGGGUGUAUGGACAGAACCUUCCCACUGUCUUUUACCUGAGGCUAGAGGAGACUCCCCACCCUGCUAGAGCUUUAAGAAUCAUGCCACGGGUUCCUUUUUUAAAACCUGUCCUUCAACAGGACCCUUUCCCCUUUAGCAAAAGGAAAAGCAAAGAAUUCAUCGCUGUUUUGUGUUGACUCUUUGGGGCAGAGUCAACCUACCUUCAGUACCUAUGUCAGGGUUUCCUAGCCUGAGGAGUGUGACCCGUGGGUAAAACGACCCUUUCACGAGGGCCACCCAAGACCACCAGAACACAUUUACGUUACACUUUACAUUAGCAGCAGACUUGCAGUUACAAAGCAACAAUGGCAAUAAUUUUCUGGGGCAGGGCACCACAGCUUGAGGAAUGUUGGGACCUACCAGCCCAUGUGAAAAUUUUUCAGACAACCAGCCCUGUCAUUUAUAUUCAGGCCUAAUAAGAAAAAAACAAAAAAACGCAACUGGGCAGUGUUGCUCAGUGGUGGAGCAUCUGCCGAGUCUGUAGCAAAGUGCCAGGUUCAGUGCUCAACUCUGUGAACAAAAAACUAAAAAAAAUCUGGGUGGUGAGGGUGGAGCUAAGAUAGUCUUAGGCUCUGUGCUCAGCAGUUUGUGGUCCGUUAGUUAUCCAGGAUCCCCUGUCUCUCCCAGCAAACAAGACAGGGCGGGACUGUCUGGACAUCCAUAGUUUCCUGUGACUCCCAGGCAGGAGAAGCCAACGCCCCUAACCCUGCAGACCCUUAGCUGCUUCUGUCAUUUGGAAGUUGGGCUUAGGGAGCUAGAGGUUUGCUUUGGUUUGGUUUUCAAAACAGGGUUUAUCUGAGUCACUCUGUAGUGCACGAUGGCCUCGAACUCACAGAGAUCCCCCUGCCUCCACCUCCCCGAGUGCUGGGAUUAAAGGCGUGCAGCCCAUUGUUGUUUAAAGAGUCUUGAGGUUCAGGCUCCCCUUCCUCUUCCUUUUUCCUUCUCUUCCUCCUCAACUCCUGCUUUUCAUUUUCCUCCCCUUUUUCCUCCUCCUACUUCUCCUCAAAUCUUCUUCCUUGCCUCCUUCUCACCGUCUUCUCCUCAACUCUUCCUCCUCCUCUUCUUUCUCCUCCUUGACUCCUCAACUCCCCGUCUUCCUGCCUUGGCUUCCAGGAGCCACACCCACGUUCAGAUGCUUCCCAGAGAGUCAGAAGAGGCCAGAGGAGGCAGAUUCCGGCCCUUCCCCGUCCCUCCACCUCCUAAGGCCUCAGAGGUGACAGUGGAGCCGAGGUGGGGGGCAGGCCUCCCUCUUUGAGCCCUUUGUUGGGUAUCUUCACCUUUAGCUUUAUUUAUCUGUGUGUGUGCGUGCACCUAGGACCUGUAUCCCCCCGGCUACAUGCCUGGGUUCCAGGCGCAGGCUGCCAUCUCUGGGUCCCUGUGCAGGUCCAGCAAGCGCGUCCCUGGCUGUCCUUUCCUGCAUCCCCCCAUCCUAACCCGCCUCCUGCCUCCUCUCCCACUUUCCACAACAGAGUGUUCUCAGCCUACAUCAAGGAGGUGGACGAGAACUGGCCAUCAUCCUGUGGGGCAGCAAGAUGCCCUUCGGCCAGCUGAUGGCAGAGUUUGGCGGCAGCAGCUGGGUACAUGGUGGCAGUUUCUCGGCCAGCACGACUCGGCUGGCCUGGGUCAGCCACGACAGCAGCCUCCAAGAGAGUGCAGUGAGUCCUCGCCUGGCUGGUGCGGACAGAGGGGAAUACAGUUAGCAAUCUGUACAUGCUGGCUCUCCAUGGCAGAUAGAGAAAGUGUAUACAGCUAGGGGGAGUAUAUACAGCUGGCAAUCUGGACACGCUGGCUCUCCUUGGCAGCUAGGGUAAGUGUAUAUAGCUGGCCACACACACUCUGGACACUGUAGCCUAGAGCACUGCAGCUAAGAGGAGUGUACACAGCUGGCCAAGAGGCCCAGGAUAGAGCAGCUGGGUACCACUGGGGGUCAGUAAUCCACCCCCACCUGACAGGCAGCACCUUAGCCAGCAGGCCCAGUCUCUGCCACUCUGAUGCAAAGAUGAUGGCUGGGAGGUGGCACCGCUGAUGCCUGUGUCCUCACUUCUGUUGUCCCCACCAGCCCCCAGAGAGAUGGGAUGGAGUGUGGUGGCCCAGGAGCCGGAAACAGGAGGCUCAAGAAUUCAAGGUCAGCCAGGUCUCUGUCCCAGAAAACCAGAGCUGAAGCUGCUGCCCCCGUCCAGCACGCGCGCACACACACACACACACAUACACACACACACACACACACACACACACCCUCACCCUCACCCUCACCCUCAGCUCUUUCCUCUGACACCACCCCAAACAGGAGAGGCGCCAUCUUCCUCCUGCCUUCGUGCCCCAGGUCUACACAAAUGGUGCUUUGUCACCAGACUGCGGUGAAAGGUAGCUCAGUGGCAAGGGAAGUAGCCUGGAACUCGCUCUCGGGUGCCUUGGCACUUGCCCUCCCAUGGGCAGCCUAAAAACGUGCCUGGGGAAUGGCCUCCUCCUGGCCACCCUGUGAGGACGCAGUGGCGUGUGGACAGCUUGGACGUGGUCCUCCCUGUGCUGAUUCUACUAGUUCUCUCCCUCCCCACCAACCCCUCCCUCCUGUAUCAUCUCUCCCUCCCCAUCAUCCCUCCCUCAUCUCCCUGCUCCUUCUCCAAUCCACUGCUAGGGGAAGUCCUUCUGUCCUUCCAUCUGACCCUAGUCUUAUGAGGUCUCAUCAGUACUGGCUGCAAUGUCCUCCCCUGUGGCCAAGCAAGACUGCUCCUCUGGGGAGCGGGGGUGAGGGGGAGAUCAAAAAGCAGGCCCCUGAGGUCAUGUCAGAGACCUUGGUGUCAAGUUUUUAACCCUCCACGUGAAUACACUCUUACAAGCCAGGCACGGUGGUGCAGGCCCAAGAUCCCAGCAUCCGGGGAGGUGAGGCAGGGUAUCGUGAGUUCGAGGCCAGCCUGGUCCACAGGGUAGGAACCUCACAUGAAGGUGGCACUGCCCGAGUUUGGUCCCCAGUGUGCGGUUAACAUAGGAGGAGAACCAUGUGUGAUGCACAUGCCCCCUGUGCAGGAUGUCAACUCUCAAAUAUCCGGCCCUUCCUGGGUGCCACCUGCCUGUGCCAUUCCCAGGGUGCGCUUCACACACACUCCCCUGCACACAGUCUCCUGCAGUGUGCCCCUUCUCAGGGUGCGACCUGCUUGUGCCAGUCCCAGGAUGUGCCCUGUGCACCCUCCCCCACACACAGUUCCCCAAACUGUGCUCCCACUCAGGGUGCCACCUGCCUGUGGCAGUCAAACAAGGCGCAUGUGCUGCCCAGAGCCCGCUCGGAGAAGGGAGAGAACAGAUCUCACAGUCACUAACCUGUGUACCAAAUACACAGCAUAAUGAACUAAUAACAACCUGAAAUGAUAAGUGUGUAAAGGCCCUUUUCAAGGGCUGCACUGUGGUGGCUUCAACCCUCGAGCCAGCCAGGCUGGCAUCUGAGGAGGAGGGGGCGGUCUCUGAAAGCUCUGCAGACAGGUGGGCUCACCCUGGUGUCCCUUCUCUGCCAAGCUAUGCAAGCACCUGGGGGUGAGGGUGCUGAAAGGAGUCUCCCUGUUUCCUUUGGAGUUGUGGAUUUGGGAUGGAACCGGGACUCUUGAAGCCCGAUUUCAAAAGCCAGGAAGUCUCUGGCUGCCCAAGCAGGCUGCUCUCAGAGGCCUUGUUGGGGACUGGUUGGCUUCAGCCAUGCUCCAGUCACGCCUGAGCUUGGAAGGAGAAAGCAGUUCUUUGUGUCAGCAUCUGCUGAGCCCUGUUCUGUCCCUACCAGCCCCAUGCUGAGGCUGUGGCCUUUCCUCCUCUCUCCCUCCCUGUCUUCCUCCUGCUGCCUUCUCUUCCCUCUCCUUCCCCCUCCCUCGCUCUCCUUCUCUCUCCUGUAUCCCUCUCCCCUCCUCCAUCCCCUCUCUCUCCCUCUUUUUCCCACUCUCCCUUCCUCUCUCUGACUCUCCUUCUUUCUCCCUUUCUCUCUUCUCCAUCUCUUUCCCUCUCUCCCCCUCUUUCUCCAUCCCUCUCCCUCUCUCCCCUCUCCCUUUUUUCUGACACCAGAUGGCUGUGAGCCACCGUGUGAGUGCUGGGACUCGAACACAGGACCUCUGGAAGAGCAGCCAGCACUCUCUACCUCUGAGCCAUCCCUGCAGCCCUCCUGACCUUGAACUUGUAACCUUCUGGCCUCUACCUUCAGAUGGCUAGGGCUCCACACUAGCACCAGUACCCAGUGUAUGUGCCUUUGGGGACCUGGCCAGGGCCUGAUGUAGUCUUGGGCCUACCCACAGGGCCACAUCCCAGUGAGUGAGCUCUCCCACUCUAGGACAGGGUCUCGUCGUGUGGCCCUGAGGGAUCUGGAGUCUAGUGCACCCCCAGCCAUCUCUCCGUGUGGGGCUUAGGGGAAGGGUCUCGCUUUUCUUUUAGACAGGUGUCUACUUACUAGGUGGACCAGAAGGACAGUUGCAAAUUAUGUACCACUGGCAUCGACGGGGCCAUGAUGAUCUGGGAUUUCAAGGUGGUCUCUCCAGUGGUAGUUGGCAGUGCUGGAGUGCAGCCCAGGCCAUGCAUGCACUAUCCACUGAGCCACUCUGCGGCAGUGCCUGGCAGAAGAGCUGGGCCCAGAGUCCCUAAGACAAGGGAAGCACAGCCCUUGGCAGGCAACCUGGAAGCCACCAUGAGUGUUGAUAUCCUGAUAGGAGCCACAGGUCAAUAGAGAGCAAUAUGUUCCUUUCGUCAGACAAGAAAAAUGGUUAUUUUGCUGGACAAGGACUAUUUUACUAAUUCUGGAUGAAUGCUGUUUUUGUUAUGGCCUGAGCCUUGGAAUGUUGACAUCACAGUGGUUUCUCCCCCUGACUACUACAGAAUCUUCACAUUUCAGUGGUUCGUCUACAAACUGCUGUAGCCAUUUUGGUUAGUGCCAGGAAAGAAAAGGAUAAUUUUUGGCCCAGUGAAAGGUUCUCCAUUCCAAGCUCCACUGUAAAGGAACCUGGAGGCCACCAUGGGUUACAGGUUAAUAGAGAACGAUUUGUCCCUUUUGUUGGAGCAAGGAAAAUGGCUAUUUUGCUGGACCAGAACUUUUGCACAAAUUCUUGAUGAAUGCUGUUUUGUUGACCUGGAGGCCAGCAUUGAUGGCUGAUAUCCUGAUAUCACAGGUCGAUGGAGUGCCAUAUGUCCCUUUUGCCAGAGACAAGGAAAAUGAUUUCUCUUGCUGGGUAGAGACCUGUCCCAGGAGAAUCCCACAUGGAAGCCUGUGAAGAGUUCAGCACUGAUGGAAUAUACCAAACCUUGCAAUGCCAAGGCCCCAUAAAAUGCAGAAGAGAUAGAACAAGAAAAAAACAUCUCUUUUUGUUCAGUGAUGUUUUGGAUGGGUCUAAUAUCCUGUGAGUAUGUCCCUCAAGCCUGCCAUACUAUUACAGGCUACACUUUGAUUAGACUUUACUAUACAAAAGUAAAAGUUUUUGAUUUA
This is a long non-coding RNA of Meriones unguiculatus (Mongolian gerbil), 9371 nucleotides long. RefSeq lists it as uncharacterized. The record is from RefSeq and is a predicted model, not a curated record. The transcript is spliced from 8 exons. Lineage: Eukaryota; Metazoa; Chordata; Mammalia; Rodentia; Muridae.